RNAcentral lists this microRNA precursor (106 nucleotides) under Echinops telfairi (small Madagascar hedgehog). RNAcentral's name for it is "miRNA (ENSETEG00000023964.1)". Lineage: Eukaryota; Metazoa; Chordata; Mammalia; Afrosoricida; Tenrecidae. The record is from RNAcentral.
GGCUGACCCUGACUGGGAUCCCCCACCGUGUCCGAGACCUUGGACGAGGGCACCAUGCUGAAGGUGUUCAUGAUGCGGUCGGGGUACUCCUCUGGUCUUGCUGAUG